AUGACUUGUCAGCAAUCUAAGGUAGAGAGAGUUAACUAUCCAAGACUUCUCUCACCUCUGCCAUUUCCUAAACAGGCCUGGGAAUCUUUUACCAUGGACUUUAUCACAGGAUUGCCCUCGUCUUUCUCAUAUGACUGCAUCCUGCUGGUUAUUGACAAGUUUACUAAGUAUGAUCACUUUAUGGCCCUCAAACACCCCUACACUGCUUAUAAAGUUGCUAACAUUUUCUUCGACAAUGUGUACAAAUUGCAUGGAAUGCCAGCAACUAUUGUGUCAGACAGAGAUGCUAUAUUCACUAGCUCUUUUUGGCAACAACUUGUUAAAAGAACUAGUGCUCACCUCAAUAUGAGCUCUGCAUAUCACCCAGCUACGGAUGGAUAG
This 381-nucleotide ribosomal RNA is filed under the name Triticum aestivum (bread wheat). RNAcentral's name for it is "partial small subunit ribosomal RNA". Lineage: Eukaryota; Viridiplantae; Streptophyta; Magnoliopsida; Poales; Poaceae. The record is from RNAcentral.